RNAcentral lists this ribosomal RNA (476 nucleotides) under Pseudomonas sp. 01WB02.2-39. RNAcentral's name for it is "bacterial SSU rRNA". It matches the Rfam family "Bacterial small subunit ribosomal RNA", at positions 1 to 486 of the family's 1533-position model. The record is from RNAcentral. Lineage: Bacteria; Pseudomonadati; Pseudomonadota; Gammaproteobacteria; Pseudomonadales; Pseudomonadaceae.
UAGAGCUUGAUCAUGGCUCAGAUUGAACGCUGGCGGCAGGCCUAACACAUGCAAGUCGAGCGGUAGAGAGAAGCUUGCUUCUCUUGAGAGCGGCGGACGGGUGAGUAAUGCCUAGGAAUCUGCCUGGUAGUGGGGGAUAACGUUCGGAAACGGACGCUAAUACCGCAUACGUCCUACGGGAGAAAGCAGGGGACCUUCGGGCCUUGCGCUAUCAGAUGAGCCUAGGUCGGAUUAGCUAGUUGGUGAGGUAAUGGCUCACCAAGGCGACGAUCCGUAACUGGUCUGAGAGGAUGAUCAGUCACACUGGAACUGAGACACGGUCCAGACUCCUACGGGAGGCAGCAGUGGGGAAUAUUGGACAAUGGGCGAAAGCCUGAUCCAGCCAUGCCGCGUGUGUGAAGAAGGUCUUCGGAUUGUAAAGCACUUUAAGUUGGGAGGAAGGGCAGUUACCUAAUACCGUGAUUGUUUUGACGUAC